RNAcentral lists this ribosomal RNA (453 nucleotides) under Oenococcus oeni. Its description in RNAcentral is "bacterial LSU rRNA". It matches the Rfam family "Bacterial large subunit ribosomal RNA", at positions 1145 to 1611 of the family's 2925-position model. Lineage: Bacteria; Bacillati; Bacillota; Bacilli; Lactobacillales; Lactobacillaceae. The record is from RNAcentral.
CUAGUCGAGUGCUCUUGCGCGGAUAAUGUACCGGGGCUAAGCAUAUUACCGAAACUGUGGAUGCGUAAGCAUGGUAGGAUAGCGUAAUUAACGCGAUGAAGGAUGACCGUAAGGACAUGUUGGAGCGUUAACUAGUGAGAAUUCCGGUAUGAGUAGCGAAAGAUAGGUGAGAAUCCUAUCCACCGAAUGAGUAAGGUUUCCCCCGGAAGGCUCGUCCGCGGGGGGUUAGUCGGGACCUAAGGCGAGGCUGAAAAGCGUAGUCGAUGGACAACAGGUUGAUAUUCCUGUACCGAUAUUUAAUUGCCGAAGGAAGGACGCAGAAGGAUAACACAGGCCACUAUUGGAUGUGGUUUUAAACAGUUAGUCUUCAUAAGAGUCAAAUGCUUUUAUGUUUAAGGAUAAGCUGUGAAUGUACCAAGUUUACUUGGAAAUUGUGUGAUUUCACGCUGCUGA